Molecule: ribosomal RNA, 440 nt
Filed under: uncultured bacterium
Lineage: Bacteria
Description: partial 16S ribosomal RNA
Rfam family: Bacterial small subunit ribosomal RNA
Source: RNAcentral
CCUACGGGUGGCAGCAGUGGGGAAUAUUGCACAAUGGGCGAAACCCUGAUGCAGCGACGCCGCGUGAGUGAUGAAGUAUUUCGGUAUGUAAAGCUCUAUCAGCAGGGAAGAAAAUUACGGUACCUGAUUAAGAAUCCCUGGCUAAUUACGUGCCAGCAGCCGCGGUAAUACGGAGGGGGCAAGCGUUAUCCGGAUUUACUGGGUGUAAAGGGAGUGUAGACGGCAGCGCAAGUCUGAAGUGAAAUGCCGGGGUUUAACCCCGGAACUGCUUUGGAAACUGGGCAGCUAGAGUGCAGGAGAGGUAAGUGGAAUUCCUGGUGUAGCGGUGAAAUGCGUAGAUAUCACGAAGAACUCCGAUUGCGAAGGCAGCAUACCGGCGCCCAACUGACGCUGAGGCACGAAAGCGUGGGUAGCGAACAGGAUUAGAUACCCUUGUAGUC